RNAcentral lists this transfer RNA (69 nucleotides) under Lithobates sylvaticus (wood frog). Its description in RNAcentral is "Rana sylvatica (wood frog) tRNA-Val". It matches the Rfam family "tRNA". From Rfam's summary of the family: Transfer RNA (tRNA) molecules are approximately 80 nucleotides in length. The record is from RNAcentral. Lineage: Eukaryota; Metazoa; Chordata; Amphibia; Anura; Ranidae.
CAAAAUGUAGCUUAAUAAAAGCCCCUCGCUUACACCGAAGAGAUACCCGUUUAAUUCGGAUCAUUUUGA